This is a long non-coding RNA of Prunus persica (peach), 1343 nucleotides long. RefSeq lists it as uncharacterized. The record is from RefSeq and is a predicted model, not a curated record. NCBI's taxonomy places the organism in Eukaryota, Viridiplantae, Streptophyta, Magnoliopsida, Rosales, Rosaceae. The transcript has 3 exons.
AUUUUGGAUCGAUAUAGAAAAGAACCUGUUGGCUGAUGUGCAUGCUUUUGAAGAAGAUAUUACUUCUUUCACUGUCAUGCAACAUAGUCUCUACAUGUAGUUUGUUUCAGCUUCCAUUUUUGGGGAUUAAGUAGAUGAAUCAAAAUGUGGUUCAUUCAUUUCAAGUAAGUUUAUGUAUGGACAAAUGUAUGAUGGCAGGUAUGUUGGAGAUUUUUAUCUUUUUUUUUUUUUUUUUUACGGAAUCAAACCAAGGACCUAGAAUGCAUGAGUAAAUGCUCGGUCAAGCUAGAUAAAAAGACAAUGAUUUCUCCCUCCUUGAACACUUCAAAAAUAGAAUGAAUAAUUCAUAAUAAUAAAACCAAAUUACUUUUAAUAAUGUAUAUUUAAUGAUUAGAUAACAUGCAGAGAAGGCUACACUCAGAAAACUGUUUGCUACAAAACUUUAUCUCAACUGUUGGUCCUCAAGAGUCAAGACCAUUUCAGUUCUUGUUGCCCACUUUGGAAGGCCAUAAGCUCUGUUUUUGAGGUCAAAAUGCUCAAGCUUUUGAAGCAGAAGUUUAUCAUGCAUGGGAGUUAAGUAGUAUUGGAUAUUGAGUAUGCGAGAAGUGGGAAAAAGAAGGCAUUUUACGCCCAAAUGGAAUUGGACGAGGUUCAAGAUGAAUGUGUUUGGGCCAAAAGAAAUCCAAAAGCACCAGCCCACUUCUAACAAAUAAGCCCAGGAAUAGGAAAACAGAAGACUGGGCCUUGACUCCAAAAGAAAAGCCCAAUCCAAGUCAGAGACCCAUAUCUUUUUUAAAAGAACAUAAUUUUAAAAAACGCCAAAAAUAAAUGGCAAUUACAAACUAAGCAGAUCGAUAAAAGUGAGUUGGGCCCAGUCUACAAAAAAAACCUACCAUUUCUCUCAAAAUCCCAGGAACAAUGUGGCGGACUUUAGGAACCUAUUCUUAAGGAAGCCCACGUGACUAUCUAAAAGACUUUGAAAAAGUCAACAAUUUCAGACCAGCCAUUUAUGCUGAUUGGAUAGCCAAUAUUGUGCCAGUUCUAAAGAGAAAAACAUGAGCAGUUAGGAUUUGUGUAGAUUACAUGAAUCUAAAUGAAGCAUCCCUCAAGGAUGAAUAUCUUAUGCCAAUGGCAGAUAUGCUGGUAGAUGGAACUGCUCAUAACCAAAUGCUAUCUUUUAUGGAUGGCAAUGCAAGAUAUAAUCAAAUUAUGGUAGCAGAAGAAGACAUUCAUAAAACAGCCUUCUUGUGUCCAGGACAUAUAGGUGUUUUUGAAUACACAGUAAUGCCUUUUGGCUUAAGAAAUGCAGGAGCCAUUUAUCAAAGAGCAAUGAAUUCUGUUUU